UGGGGAAUAUUGCACAAUGGGGGGAACCCUGAUGCAGCGACGCCGCGUGAGCGAAGAAGUAUCUCGGUAUGUAAAGCUCUAUCAGCAGGGAAGAAAGUGACGGUACCUGACUAAGAAGCCCCGGCUAACUACGUGCCAGCAGCCGCGGUAAUACGUAGGGGGCAAGCGUUAUCCGGAUUUACUGGGUGUAAAGGGAGCGCAGGCGGCGCGGUAAGUCUGAUGUGAAAGCCCGGGGCUCAACCCCGGGACUGCAUUGGAAACUGUCGUGCUGGAGUGUCGGAGGGGCAAGUGGAAUUCCUAGUGUAGCGGUGAAAUGCGUAGAUAUUAGGAGGAACACCAGUGGCGAAGGCGGCUUGCUGGACGACAACUGACGCUGAGGCUCGAAAGCGUGGGGAGCAAACAGGAUUAGAUACCC
This 415-nucleotide ribosomal RNA is filed under the name uncultured bacterium. RNAcentral describes it as "bacterial SSU rRNA". It matches the Rfam family "Bacterial small subunit ribosomal RNA", at positions 355 to 787 of the family's 1533-position model. The record is from RNAcentral.